CAUCGAUCUCUGCAUCCUUCUCCUCCUGACUAGAAAUUGAAGCACGGCCAUGUCUCCUUUCCGGUUGCUCGAUUGAUCCUACCUUCGUGCAGGUAUCGUUGAUGCAGGACAUCAAAUUGAAAGGCAUGCUUAUUUCCACCCAGGAUGUAAGGGGCACCAUGAAUGAACAGAAGCAGCAGACUCCAGGAGAACACAUGCUACAAAACAUAGGAACCACAACAGGAAUCUGCAACUGCAAGAUGGAUCAUCCAUGGCCAUCUUAUAGGACUUAUCCUCGAUGUUGAUGCGUGCCGGCGUCCAAGGUGUCCUCCAUAGCAGCACAGUUCUUGCAGAGAUAGCCCUUGAACCUGGAAGGUUGGAAGCUAGAUAUCAUGAGCUCUUUUUUUUCUGCAGGAGAAUGAAGUAUGGGAAGGACCCCCUCUUGUACUUGCUGUCCUGCAGCUCAAAACAAAUAGGUAUGCAGUGCAAAUAAAUGUUGCAGAGAAGAGGAAGAGAGAGGAGGUAUGGAGGAGGGUACCAAUAUCUCGCUGUGAGACUCAACUGUCAUUUGAUGAAGGCCAUAAAGUCAUUAGCACAGAAGCUGGGUUCUUGAAAAACAUGGAAAAGGAGCUCCCGUUUGCUGAUAUCAGACCUGGGAAUUUCUUUUACACCUGCUUUGUCAUCACUUGCUGAAAAAGAAUAUCAAGAUCUGAUCGACUGAUUGAUCACCCUGAGUCAGCUAAAGCUUGCGGUCAGGGAGGGGUAAGUGCAACGUGAGGCCUGCGUCACUCGCUCUUGACUUGUACCGCGAUCCAUUAUUGGUGGCAUGGAAAUUCUUAAUCCAAUCACAAUAAUCAGCAGCCAGCCAAGCAAAACGAGGAAGGUGUUCUUGCCUACGCUGUGACCAUAGCACAGCAGUACAGAACUACAGCGCGGUGCAAUCCAACUCCUGUUUCACUCAACUAGUCAAGCUUCUCUUCCUGCUGGAUGAUCGAUCGGCUCGUCAGAAGCCAUGCAGGCAAGGUAAUUAAUUACAUUACACACUCCCAUUUAGGGCCCCUUUGAAUAGUCGGAUUGAGAAAGCGUAG
Non-coding RNA from Oryza sativa Japonica Group (Japanese rice), 1067 nucleotides. The record is from RefSeq and is a predicted model, not a curated record. NCBI's taxonomy places the organism in Eukaryota, Viridiplantae, Streptophyta, Magnoliopsida, Poales, Poaceae.